Equus asinus (donkey) is the source of this 2827-nucleotide long non-coding RNA. Lineage: Eukaryota; Metazoa; Chordata; Mammalia; Perissodactyla; Equidae. The record is from Ensembl.
CUCCUCCGAGGCUGCGGUGAUUGGCCGGCCAGCGACCGCUCCCAUAAUGCAGCGCAGGGCGCGUCACUGAAAAGAGACCAUCCCAUCUGCGACGCUGCAGCCUUCAUGAGGGAGCGCUCGGCUGGAGAACGCGGCCGAGAUUGUGAUGGCACCACCCUUCGUGGUUGGUAAUGAACAACGCCAACGCGCAGAGCUCGUAUUCUUACCAUUUAGGAAAUCCUAAUGACCAUUUGCAGUUUUCACGCGUAUUUUGGUAUUUCACGCUUUGGAAGUAACAGCUGAAGAGAAGUGAGGCAAAUUUGUGAAAAUUGUGAUCAGUGGUUCGUUGCCACCUGCCUCAGGUGUCUGCUGAGAGGAGCUAACCUCUUUGUGGUGCUAGAGCAAGGUCACUGCAUAAAGAAAAAGAACACAAAUGAAUUAAGUGGACCAUGUCCUCUUUCGCACUGCCCCAGCUAUAAUGCAAAGAGUUGGCUAAGAGUGGAUGCUUUUGGAAAAAGUGAGCAUCUAGUCACUGCCAACAUUCCCUUUAAACUAUGUCUUGCAAAGGUAAACCACCAAGAUUAUGUUUGGGAAGAGAUUCUAUCAGCAGUAGCGCCAAUUGUAAAACGACGAUCGCUAGAUAAAUACAUUGACUGCAAAAGCCUUUUUCAUGAAGUGAGUCAGUUGAUAAGUAGUGGCAAACCCACUGUGCAGCCACGGCCUGUUCCGUUCUAACGGCACUAUUUAGUGACUAUCUCGAGUGCAAGUAAAACUAGCAACUAUGGACUGAGCACGGAAUUCCACGGUAACUGGUAACUAUAAAACGUCUUUCUUUCAGGAAGAAGACCUUCGUGAAAUCUUCACGUUCGCUGUUGAAGGUCUGCCGGAGUUCAUCAGGAGGGACAACCUCGGUGCUCAGAUGGCUUUGGUAUUUCAGCUUCACCUUGAGCUGCUGGUCAGCCUGGGCUUUGCUUUCUCAGCAAAAUCCCACAAGCCCAUUACAACUGUGUGUCCUUCUGGCUCCCUUCUGGGCAGGACGCCCAGCCGCUUGGAUUUGUAAUGAUGCAGGGCCUGGCCAGCCCGGAUCCUACCUUGUCUCACUCAAAGAACAUGACGUCUUAAAGGAACAUGGAGCGGCUCCUGUGAACUACUGUUCCUGGAAACACUAGUCGUCCCAUGGACAGCCCGUCUUGGAAAGCAUAUAGCUUUGUGUCCCCUGCCUGUAUAAGCAACCCCCUCCCUACGCCUGGUAGCGGGUGCACAUUUCCAUCCAGCUGGCCACCACUGGACAUCCGGAUAAGUAAUUCCCAGUAAACCUAUAUGUCUCGUUCCCCAUCUCUGGAUUUUUUCUUCAGUCUCUCUGUGACUUACCCCACACUGCUCACCCAACUGGUCUGUGGCCAGACAAUGCCAAUCAAGUCUCUAGCUCGAACUUUCUUCUUCCAAGUUUGGGCAGACGUUAUUUGGCUAUGUUUGAAUCUUCACAAAAUGUACUGUUAAAGCCAACAGAAUCCUGGUGGGUGACUAUUCUGGACAGCAAAGUUAUGAAGCUUUUUCUCACAGUAUGUGGAAAAAAAGAUUUAGAUAUGGCACAAGAUUCUUUGCAGUGCCUUGCCCAGUUUACUUCUCUUCAUGGACCUAUCUUCCGUCGUGAAGGAUCACAAAUUGAUUAACACACUUCAUUGAAAGAUUACUGAAUACUAUCAAUGAAAUGGAAAUAGAAGAUUCUGAAGUUGUGGGGAUCUCCAGCAUCAUCAGCAAUCUGUUAACAGUAUUUCCUUGAAAUGUUUAAUUGCCGUUCCAAAUGAACUUUUCUCCUCCUUUGUUAACUGCCACACACCUCACUUGUUCUUUUGGGUGAAGUGCUGCAUUGGAAGAAGUCUUGAUAAAGAUGACAUGGCAUAUACCUGGAAGCAUAUGGCAAAAUGCUGGAGUCCUGGCUAACUGCUCCAACAUGAUAAACAUUUCUAUAAAGACUUUUUUACCCAACAUGCUGUUCAAGUUUUCAGUUCUUUUAUUCAGUGCCACCUAGCUGCUCCAAAUGGCACAAGGAAUUUAACUGUCAAUGGUGUGGACUCUCGUGAGGAAGAAGAAAUAGGUGAAUGUCAAGAGGAUGAUCGAGGGCAGUUUUCAGAUCCACAGGCCAGUGAAGGAAUGCUAGGAAGAAUUGCUUCAGAACACUGUAUACCUCUUCUGACAAGAACCUGGUACCUGGUAGACGUUGGAUGUUUCCUUCUCCUGUUCUAGUGAUGAGGACACAAGUGGAAUGGUCAUUUCUUUCAGGGGGAAAAGAAACCCUCACUAAAAGAGAAUGCCGACAACAGUGCAUUUUGCAAAGCCUGAAUUAUUCAAUCUGGAGUGUCAUAAGGAAAAUGAGAGACAAUGUGACAGUGACGAUAUGUAAAGCGGUAUUGACUAAAUAUAUCCCAAAACUUAAGAAAGGCACCAAUCCACAAAAUGAAGACUUUCAACAAAAUUCCAAGCAGUAUCAGGAAAAAGAAAUCCAGGCUGAGACACAACAUAGCGAAAGUGCAGAUCACCAGAGAAAACAAAAACAUCAAAGGAAACAGUCAAUGAGAAAUAGUCAGAAAAACUGAAUUGCCUUUGAAGAAUCAACAACCAGACCAAAAGCUAUCUUGCUAACAGCAGUUAAAGCCAGAAGACAGUAGAGUGGUGUCAUUAAUGGGCUGAGAGAUAAAGAUGUUAACCUAGAAAUCUAUAGAAAGGAAAAUGUGGUUUCAGAGAAAAAAAAAAAGUCUUUGCUAUUGGCAGAAUCUCACAAAAGGAACAAAAUACUGGCUGAAAAGUCCAGGAUGCAAAAAGAAAUAAACACCUGUAUUAAUCUGUU